GAUGAACGCUGGCGGCGUGCUUAACACAUGCAAGUCGAACGGAAAGGCCCAAGCUUGCUUGGGUACUCGAGUGGCGAACGGGUGAGUAACACGUGGGUGAUCUGCCCUGCACUUCGGGAUAAGCCUGGGAAACUGGGUCUCAUACCGGAUAGGACAACAUUUUGGGUGGUGUGGUGGAAAGUUUUUCGGUGUGGGAUGAGCUCGCGGCGUAUCCGCUUGUUGGUGGGGUAAUGGCCUACCAAGGCGUCGACGGGUAGCCGGCCUGAGAGGGUGUACGGCCACAUUGGGACUGAGGUACGGCCCAGACUCCUACGGGAGGCAGCAGUGGGGAAGAUUGCACAAGGGGCGCAGGCCUGAUGCAGCGACGCCGCGUGGGGGAUGACGGCCUUCGGAUUGUAGACUACUUGCGCUAGGGACGAAGCGUUAUGUGACGGUACCUGGAGAAGAAGCACCGGCUAACUACGUG
This 466-nucleotide ribosomal RNA is filed under the name uncultured bacterium. Its description in RNAcentral is "partial 16S ribosomal RNA". It matches the Rfam family "Bacterial small subunit ribosomal RNA", at positions 28 to 507 of the family's 1533-position model. The record is from RNAcentral.